CACGGUUCCAAGAUCGAAAAUAUUGCCCAAAAGUGGCCAUCCUGGAGGCCCUGGAGGCAGGUUCUUGGUUCCCUUUCCCCACUUUUUUCGAUUUAGGCACAGAACCAGAGCUAGUGAUAAGAAAAGAGUUGAGCAAACAAGGACACUGUACAUGUAAUCCAUUCCUCUCCGAUGUUUUGAGACGGCUACUGCCAGCAGCUGCUUUUUACAAGAUAAAUCUUGAC
This 224-nucleotide unclassified non-coding RNA is filed under the name Hevea brasiliensis (rubber tree). The record is from RNAcentral. Lineage: Eukaryota; Viridiplantae; Streptophyta; Magnoliopsida; Malpighiales; Euphorbiaceae.